This 238-nucleotide ribosomal RNA is filed under the name uncultured bacterium. RNAcentral describes it as "partial 16S ribosomal RNA". It matches the Rfam family "Bacterial small subunit ribosomal RNA", at positions 15 to 236 of the family's 1533-position model. The record is from RNAcentral.
GAUCCUGGCUCAGGAUGAACGCUGGCGGCGUGCCUAACACAUGCAAGUCGAACGGAGCUGCUUUGAUGAGAUCUUCGGAUGGAUUUAAAACAGCUUAGUGGCGGACGGGUGAGUAACGCGUGGGUAACCUGCCUCACACUGGGGGAUAACAGUUAGAAAUAACUGCUAAUACCGCAUAAGCGCACGGUUCCGCAUGGAACAGUGUGAAAAACUCCGGUGGUGUGAGAUGGACCCGCGU